RNAcentral lists this transfer RNA (73 nucleotides) under Microcaldota archaeon. RNAcentral's name for it is "tRNA-Ala". It matches the Rfam family "tRNA". From Rfam's summary of the family: Transfer RNA (tRNA) molecules are approximately 80 nucleotides in length. Lineage: Archaea; Nanobdellati; Microcaldota. The record is from RNAcentral. RNAcentral also lists the same sequence under 1 other name.
GGGCUCGUAGUGUAGUAGUUAACAUGUUCCGUUCGCAACGGAAAGAUGGCGGGUGCGAUUCCCGCCGAGUCCA